Long non-coding RNA from Bombus terrestris (buff-tailed bumblebee), 2025 nucleotides. RefSeq lists it as uncharacterized. The record is from RefSeq and is a predicted model, not a curated record. Lineage: Eukaryota; Metazoa; Arthropoda; Insecta; Hymenoptera; Apidae. The transcript has 3 exons.
GAUAACGGAUAAGUGAUAAGAUAGCAGAAGUAGAAAGGAAUAUCUUAUCAUGGACUAUUUAAUGCCAGUGAUUACGAAGCAAUGAUGCUAGGAAGUUUAGGAAGAUUCGUUAUUUAAUUCAGUUUACGCGGAAAAGAUAUAUGUUACCUUUUGAAGUAUUUUAUCUUAUACGUGGUAUAUGAAUUAUAAUUUAAUUUAAAUUUGAUAAAUUUAAAGGUGAUAUAAAGAAAUGCAACAGGUGCUGACGUGGAUGUGGAGAUUUCGUCAUUUUUCUUCGUAGAUAAUAAUUACCUGUGCAAUAAUGGAAGCUACCUUUUCUUUAUCUAUUGCUGUGUGGAUUCGUUUAUUUUUCAAGUGAUGUGGAGUAUCUCUACGAUGGAGUCUAUUUGGUCUAUUUGAAUCACCACUACCAUCAUAAUCAGUACCGUCUACGAUAGAAAAUUCGACAUGUCUUUGUGUUUCUUCAUUUUCAGAUUCUUCCUCAUCUUUGUCAUUUAUAUCCUUUGAUUCAGAUAUUGAACCUUCAGUCCUCACAUCCUAAAAAAAUAAUUUUUAUAAUUUACAAAUCAGUAACAAAUAAGUAAAUAAAUAAACUAGCAUUAACAUAAAUACUUACAGCAUUAGAUUCUGUAAUAUAUUGAUUAGAAACUAUUUCUGGUUCAUUGCUGGACUGAAAAUCUGCAUUAUCAGCCACUAUACCAGGUAUGGUUUCUUUUUGUGCAUUUUCUAUAGAUUCAGGUUGUAACGAUUCUUGCUCUAUAGUCUCGGUAGUCAAAUCAUUGGACUUUGUUGAAAUAUCAGUCUCAGUUUUAUCCAAACCAAAUGUUUGAGAAACAUCCUGAAAGAUAUUAUUAACAACUCUUACAAAAAGAUUGUAUGAUAUCUUGAAAAAUGAAAUUAAUAAUUACCUGCUCAUCUGUAGAUGCUGAUCGGCUGUCAUUUUUUCCUUUACUAAAUAAUUUAUGAGCUUUUGCUUUUAAUUCUUUUGGAUGAGGGGUAUUUUGUCGUACGAAUGGUGUCUGAAAUAAGCGCAAACGUUGUAUUUACGUAAUUAAAAAAAAAGGUGAAUGGUUAGAAAAAAAUAGGCUUUUGUUUCAUUUUUUGUUAUAAUUUUAAUACAAUGAGUCGUAAGAAUAAUAACGUUUCCAACACAUUAAAUAUCUCGAAAAUACUCUGAACUUAGAUAUAGCAAACCUAAAAAGUCUAGAAGAUUUCCUCAUAUGUAAUGUGCUCACCUCCUUAUCAGUUUCCGGAGGUUCAUCCGUAAAUUUCACGGAAUGCGUUCGCGACGCUUCUUUUUCUUGCCAGCCUUCAUCAUCGCUACUACCAAGUUCACGUAUUUCGCCAUCUUGAACAACAUUUCUCAUACCACCAAGCAUACCAAUUCUUCCUGAAUCUAAAUCACAAAUCAUGUAACAUAUAAUCCAUAAAGUAUAACUAAAUGUACCAAAAUAUACUUUCAUGAAAUAGAUCUACUAACCAUCUGGAUGGAUUUCCAAUUGUGGCAAAAGAAAACAAAUUAAUACUUCUUGCCCUGUUUCCUCAUCAACGUCUGUCUGAAAAGUAAGCAUUGGUUGUGCUUGAUUCUUACUUAACCAUACUGCCUUUAAGUUCAAAUUGAUCAAGGAAUAUGGCAAGUACUGUAAUCUGAAAAAACGAAUAUCAUUACUAAAUAUCGUUAACAAAAUAUGAAGAAAUUUCGAUAUUUAAGAUUAUAUUAUAUACCUAUUGCCUGAGACAUCCAACACAUGAAGAGCUGUACAUUGUCCAACUUCGAUAGGAAGAUACUGCAGUUUGUUAUCUCUUAAAGAUAGUACACCCAAUUGUUUUAAAUUUCCUAUAGAAAAACAAUAACAUUCGAUAAAAAAUUAUUUUUAAUGCCAUAAAGUAAUAUAAAUAAAUAUUAACGUAAAUUGAAAUUCUAAACGACAUUUUUCUUACCGAUUUCCGUAGGAAGCGACUGCAAACUGUUUCUAUCUACAUUUAAAUUGUUUAGAUUAUGAAGUUUUCCUAUAGUUACAGGCA